Molecule: ribosomal RNA, 652 nt
Filed under: uncultured fungus
Lineage: Eukaryota; Fungi
Description: eukaryotic LSU rRNA
Rfam family: 5.8S ribosomal RNA (bases 256-409)
Source: RNAcentral
AAGGAUCAUUAUUGAAAUAAACCUGAUGGGUUGUUGCUGGUUCUCUAUGGGGACAUGUGCACGCCCGUCAUCUUUAUAUCUCCACCUGUGCACACUUUGUAGACCUGGGUAGCUUUCUGAAUGCCUUUUGGUGUUCAGGUUUGAGGACUGACUAUCCUUGUCUCUCCUUACAUUUCCAGGUCUAUGUUUUCUUCAUAUACCCCAAUGUAUGUUAUAGAAUGUAAUUAAUGGGCCUUUGUGCCUAUAAACCUAUACAACUUUCAGCAACGGAUCUCUUGGCUCUCGCAUCGACGAAGAACGCAGCGAAAUGCGAUAAGUAAUGUGAAUUGCAGAAUUCAGUGAAUCAUCGAAUCUUUGAACGCACCUUGCGCUCCUUGGUAUUCCGAGGAGCAUGCCUGUCUGAGUGUCAUUAAUAUAUCAACCUCUUUAGCUUUUGCUAAUUGAGUGUUGGAUGUGGGGGAAUUUUGCUGGUCUCUUUUUAAACGAGGUCAGCUCCCCUAAAAUGCAUUAGCGGAACAUUUGUUGACCGUUCAUUGGUGUGAUAACUAUCUACGCUAUUGACGUGAGGCAGUUCAGCUUCUAACAGUCCAUUGACUUGGACAAUUUUCAUUAAUGUGACCUCAAAUCAGGUAGGACUACCCGCUGAACUUAA